UUUUGUUUUUAAAAGACCUUCUUACGAAGGUAUGCUUAAAGAGGGGCUUGCGCCACAUUAGUUAGUUGGUAGAGUAAAAGCCUACCAAGACGAUGAUGUGUAGCUGGACUGAGAGGUUGAACAGCCACAUUGGGACUGAGACACGGCCCAAACUCCUACGGGAGGCAGCAGUAGGGAAUUUUCGGCAAUGGAGGAAACUCUGACCGAGCAACGCCGCGUGAACGAUGAAGUAUUUCGGUAUGUAAAGUUCUUUUAUUGAAGAAGAAAAAGUAGUGGAAAAACUAUAUUGACGUUAUUCAAUGAAUAAGCCCCGGCUAACUAUGUGCCAGCAGCCGCGGUAAGACAUAGGGGGCGAGCGUUAUCCGGAAUUAUUGGGCGUAAAGGGUGCGUAGGCUGUUAGAUAAGUCUAUAAUUUAAUUUCAGUGCUUAACGCUGUCUUGUUAUAGAAACUGUCUUGACUAGAGUGAGAUAGAGGCAAGCGGAAUUCCAUGUGUAGCGGUAAAAUGUGUAAAUAUAUGGAGGAACACCAGAAGCGUAGGCGGCUUGCUGGGUCUUUACUGACGCUGAGGCACGAAAGCGUGGGUAGCAAACAGGAUUAGAUACCCUGGUAGUCCACGCCGUAAACGAUGAGUACUAAGUGUCGGGGUAAAACUCGGUACUGAAGUUAACACAUUAAGUACUCCGCCUGAGUAGUACGUACGCAAGUAUGAAACUUAAAGGAAUUGACGGGACUCCGCACAAGCGGUGGAUCAUGUUGUUUAAUUCGAAGAUACACGAAAAAUCUUACCAGGUCUUGACAUACUCUGCAAAGCUAUAGAAAUAUAGUGGAGGUUAUCAGGGAUACAGGUGGUGCAUGGUUGUCGUCAGUUCGUGUCGUGAGAUGUUAGGUUAAGUCCUAAAACGAACGCAACCCUUGUCGUUAAUUGCCAGCACAUAAUGGUGGGGACUUUAACGAGACUGCCAAUUAAACAUUGGAGGAAGGUGAGGAUUACGUCAAAUCAUCAUGCCCCUUAUGAUCUGGGCUACAAACGUGAUACAAUGGCUGUGACAAAGAGUAGCUGAAACGCGAGUUUUUAGCCAAUCUCAAAAAAGCAGUCUCAGUUCGGAUUGAAGUCUGUA
RNAcentral lists this ribosomal RNA (1119 nucleotides) under Brinjal little leaf phytoplasma. Its description in RNAcentral is "bacterial SSU rRNA". It matches the Rfam family "Bacterial small subunit ribosomal RNA", at positions 173 to 1309 of the family's 1533-position model. Lineage: Bacteria; Bacillati; Mycoplasmatota; Mollicutes; Acholeplasmatales; Acholeplasmataceae. The record is from RNAcentral.